Molecule: long non-coding RNA, 2133 nt
Filed under: Vitis vinifera (wine grape)
Lineage: Eukaryota; Viridiplantae; Streptophyta; Magnoliopsida; Vitales; Vitaceae
Description: long non-coding RNA (VVIN_LNC001243)
Source: RNAcentral
CGGCAAGGGCUGCCCCACUCACUGAUCUUCUUAAGAAGAAUAAGGCAUGGGAAUGGGAUGGAAGGUGCCAACAAGCCUUUGAGGAUCUAAAGAAGGCUGUGACUGAGGAGCCAGUGUUGGUACUACCCGACCACACCAAGGUCUUUGAGGUACACACAGAUGCCUCAGACUUCGCUAUUGGGGGAGUCCUUAUGCAAGAGAGGCACCCAAUCGCAUUUGAGAGUCGCAAGCUAAACGACGCGGAGAGGCGUUACACGGUGCAAGAAAAAGAGAUGACUGCUAUCGUCCACUGCUUACGCACCUGGAGGCACUAUCUACUAGGGUCUCACUUCAUAGUGAAGACCGACAAUGUGGCCACUAGCUACUUCCAGACUCAGAAGAAGCUGAGUCCUAAACAAGCUAGGUGGCAAGACUUCUUGGCCGAGUUCGACUAUACGCUGGAGUAUAAGCCAGGAAGUGCUAACCAUGUGGCCGACGCCCUAAGUCGCAAAGCCGAGCUAGCGUCCAUGACGAGUCAGCCCCAAGGAGAUAUAGUGAGUCUUCUAAGGGAGGGACUGCAACAUGAUCCAGUGGCUAAGAGCCUUAUCGCCCUGGCUCAUGAAGGAAAAACUAAGCGGUUUUGGGUGGAGGACGGCCUACUCUAUACAAAGGGGAGACGACUCUACGUGCCUAAGUGGGGGAACAUAAGGAGGAACCUGAUUAAAGAGUGCCACGACACCAAGUGGGCGGGGCACCCUGGGCAACGACGCACUAGGGCACUACUCGAGUCGGCUUACUAUUGGCCUCAGAUACGGGACGAGGUUGAGGCCUAUGUGAGGACUUGUCUUGUGUGCCAACAAGACAAGGUGGAACAGCGACAACCUAGAGGCCUGUUAGAGCCACUACCGGUAGCAGAACGCCCAUGGGACAGCGUCACCAUGGACUUCAUCAUCGGGCUACCUAAGUCAGAGGACAGCGGCUCUAUCAUAGUGGUGGUGGACAGGUUCUCUAAGUAUGCAACCUUCAUAGCAGCCCCGACUGACUGCACGGCGGAAGAGACGGCGAGGCUAUUCCUAAAGCACGUAGUCAAGUAUUGGGGGUUGCCUAAGUUCAUCAUCAGUGAUCGCGACCCACGCUUCACUGGGAAGUUUUGGACGGAGCUCUUCAAGCUUAUGGGUUCGGAGCUUCACUUCUCCACCAGCUUUCACCCACAGACAGAUGGGCAGACUGAAAGGGUGAACGCCUUGCUGGAGCUAUACUUGAGGCACUUUGUGAGUGCCAACCAGAGGGAUUGGGCUAAGUUGCUAGAUAUAGCCCAGUUCUCAUACAACUUGCAAAAGAGUGAGGCGACCAACAAGAGCCCGUUCGAGUUAGCCACAGGGCAGCAACCCUUAACUCCUCACACGCUAACGAUAGGCUACACGGGGAGAAGUCCAGCGGCUUUCAAGUUCGCGAAGGGGUGGCAUGAGCAAGCUGACAUAGCCCGCUCAUACUUAGACAAGGCCGCUAAGAAAAUGAAGAAGUGGGCUGACAAGAAGCGACGACACAUAGAGUACAAGGUCGGAGACAUGGUGCUUGUCAAGCUCCUUCCUCAACAAUUCAAGUCCCUAAGGCCGGUGCAUAAGGGCCUUGUGAGGAAGUAUGAAGGACCCUUCCCCAUACUUGGGAAGGUUGGCAAGGUGUCCUAUAAAGUCGAGCUGCCCCCGAGGUUGAAGAUCCAUCCUGUCUUCCACGCAAGCUACUUAAAGCCCUAUCACGGAGACAAGGACGAUCCAAGCCGAGGGUUGUCUAAGAGGGCACCUACAGCGGUUGUGACCUCCUAUGACAAGGAGGUAGAACACGUCCUCGCAGACCGGGUCAUCAGGAGACGAGGGGUACCUCCUGCUACGGAAUACUUAGUGAAAUGGAAAGGACUACCAGAAAGUGAGGCUAGCUGGGAGCCAGCAGAGGCACUAUGGCAGUUCCAGGAACAGAUCGAGCGGUUCCGGGCAGAAGGCGCGACGAGGACGUCUGCGGCAUAGGUGGGGGAGAGUGUCACAAGUUGAUCCAAAUGAGCCUCCCCAUGGCCUUAUAUAGGGCCAGGAAGCUUCUGGAGACUCCUAGAAUGGGAAGAGUGUGGAAGGUUCUAGAGAAGUCUGGAGGAGUCCACACAAU